UGAUCCAGGUCACAAUAGAGGUCAAGCAGUGUGAGGAGGAAGACGUGGUGGUCAAAGGAAUGGCAGGGGGACAAGCACCCCUUCGUGGGCCUCGUUUGAGCGGUGUGGGGGAACGCGGUAGAGGACAAGGCCACGGACCAAGACAGCGGCAGCAACAGCAAAGAGCGUCCAAUGAAAUCUGAGCAAUAGUUUGUAGAUUAUGUCGUAAAUCAUGGCAUGACAACGACUGAGGCAACUACAAUGAUUCAACCAAACCUCAGGAGAUCAACCGUGGCUUCAAUCAUCAGAACUUUCUGCAAUGAGAUCCGAGUUGAGACAAGGCCAAAUAGGGCACAGGCAAAAGUCUGACUGACCAACAAGAGCGGGCUGUGGUCAAUUUGGUUCGGGCCAGAAAUGAUAUCCGCCUUCGGCAGCACAUCUUGGACAAUAACGACAUGUCCAACCAUGUGGAAGCCAUACGUUUGCAGACUAUUGCCCGCAUGCUGAAAGGGGACCAGGUGUCUCUAAAACAGCUAUACCCUGUGGGCCUUUUGAAAGAAAUGCAGACAGAGUGAAGCAACUGACGACUGGCUGUUCAGGAUGAGGUAGGGUUCAACCUGGCCAAGACAAGGAUGAGAGGUCUGAAUUUCAUUGGCCAGCGGGCAACCAUCCAAGUACCUGGACAACGUGGGGCCAACGUCACCAUGUGUGCAGCUAUAUCAGAAGAUGGUGUGGUUGGACGCAGCCCUCGUAUUGGAUCAUAUAAUGCAGCUCUCCUUGUAACCUUGAUGAGAUAAAUCAGGUCUGUAGAGCUGAUGGCGUGACCUAUGUCGUCAUGUGGGAUAAUGUCAGGUUCCACCAUGCUCAAAUGGUGCAAGCAUAGUUUCAGGCCCAGCCACAAUUUACCACCCUGUACUUACCCUCAUACUCUCCUUUCCUUAACCCGAUUUGAGGAAUUUUUCUCCACAUGAAGGUGGAGAAGGUAUACGAUAGGCACCCUCACGAACAAGCUUGGCUUUGCCAUGCCCGAAGAUUCUUCCCAAGAUGUUUGGCUAAUGAAAACAUCCAUUGUGAUGUGGAUGAGAACCUGUGGCCAAAUCCACAAGACAGGGUGGUUAUUUAUUUAUUUAUUUUAUUUUACCUUUAUUUAACUAGGCAAGUCAGUUAAGAACAAAUUCUUAUUUUCAAUGACGGCCUAGGAACAGUGGGGUUAACUGCCUGUUCAGGGGCAGAACGAUAGAUUUUGUACCUUCUGUAGCUCAGUUGGUAGAGCAUGGCGCUUGUAACGCCAGGGUAGUGGGUUCGAUCCCCGGGACCACCCAUACGUAGAAUGUAUGCACACAUGACUGUAAGUCGCUUUGGAUAAAAGCGUCUGCUAAAUGGCAUAUAUAUACCUUGUCAGCUCGGGGAUUUGAACUUGCAACCUUUCGGUUAUUAGUCCAAUGCUCUAACCACUAGGCUACCCUGCCGGGUUGAGAGAAAUCUAGAAGUUCAGUAAUCAAUCCUUUGUUUUGCUUUUUAAAGUAAGUCAUGUGAUGAACACUGCCGUUCAUGUUUUACUGUAGUUUUUCUUUGAAGCAAAUUAUUUUUGCUUCGAUUCAAAGAAUCCUGUUGUGAUUUUUUAAAAUUGAAUUUCAUCGAUAAAUUUCAGAUUUUGUUAAAUGAUUCCACUGUAUCUGUGUAUUCUCUCUUCUAAUCCUUGUACUGUGAUGUAUUUACGUGUAGUAGCAUCAUGAAACAACACAGUGAAACGUAUCAGUAUCUUGUAUUUGGGUGAUCUAAAUGAAUGUUCCUAUGGUAUUUCAUUAUAAAUGAGUUAUUUGAACCAAUGAUUCUGCAAGUGCAAGGUUUCUUUAAAGAUAUGAAUGCACAAUGCAAUGUUUUGAACAUUGGACAGCCUGUGUUACAAGUGAUAACCGUUUUUUGAGUUUAGUGUCUAGAAUUUUGAAAGGUUCUGAAAUUAG
Oncorhynchus keta (chum salmon) is the source of this 1943-nucleotide long non-coding RNA. RefSeq lists it as uncharacterized. The record is from RefSeq and is a predicted model, not a curated record. The transcript is spliced from 3 exons. Lineage: Eukaryota; Metazoa; Chordata; Actinopteri; Salmoniformes; Salmonidae.